Molecule: ribosomal RNA, 612 nt
Filed under: Enterobacteriaceae bacterium HGB0059
Lineage: Bacteria; Pseudomonadati; Pseudomonadota; Gammaproteobacteria; Enterobacterales; Enterobacteriaceae
Description: bacterial SSU rRNA
Rfam family: Bacterial small subunit ribosomal RNA
Source: RNAcentral
CAUAACGUCGCAAGACCAAAGAGGGGGACCUUCGGGCCUCUUGCCAUCGGAUGUGCCCAGAUGGGAUUAGCUAGUAGGUGGGGUAACGGCUCACCUAGGCGACGAUCCCUAGCUGGUCUGAGAGGAUGACCAGCCACACUGGAACUGAGACACGGUCCAGACUCCUACGGGAGGCAGCAGUGGGGAAUAUUGCACAAUGGGCGCAAGCCUGAUGCAGCCAUGCCGCGUGUAUGAAGAAGGCCUUCGGGUUGUAAAGUACUUUCAGCGGGGAGGAAGGGAGUAAAGUUAAUACCUUUACUCAUUGACGUUACCCGCAGAAGAAGCACCGGCUAACUCCGUGCCAGCAGCCGCGGUAAUACGGAGGGUGCAAGCGUUAAUCGGAAUUACUGGGCGUAAAGCGCACGCAGGCGGUUUGUUAAGUCAGAUGUGAAAUCCCCGGGCUCAACCUGGGAACUGCAUCUGAUACUGGCAAGCUUGAGUCUCGUAGAGGGGGGUAGAAUUCCAGGUGUAGCGGUGAAAUGCGUAGAGAUCUGGAGGAAUACCGGUGGCGAAGGCGGCCCCCUGGACGAAGACUGACGCUCAGGUGCGAAAGCGUGGGGAGCAAACAGGAUU